UAGUCCACGCCGUAAACGAUGAGAACUAGAUGUUGGGAGGGUUGCCUCUCGGUGUCGCAGCUAACGCGUUAAGUUCUCCGCCUGGGGAGUACGCCGGCAACGGUAAAACUCAAAGGAAUUGACGGGGACCCGCACAAGCGGUGGAGCAUGUGGUUUAAUUCGAUGCAACGCGAAGAACCUUACCUGCCCUUGACAUACUCGGAACUUUCCAGAGAUGGAUUGGUGCCUUCGGGAACCGAGAUACAGGUGCUGCAUGGCUGUCGUCAGCUCGUGUCGUGAGAUGUUGGGUUAAGUCCCGCAACGAGCGCAACCCUUGUCCUUAGUUGCCAGCACGUAAUGUGGGGACUCUAACAAGACUGCCUCCGCAAGGAGCGAGGAAGGCGGGGACGACGUCAAAUCAUCAUGGCCCUUACGCCCAGGGCGACACACGUGCUACAAUGGACGGUACAGCGGGUAGCGACUUUGCAAAAAGAAGCCAAUCCCAAAAAGCCGUUCCCAGUUCGGAUUGGGGUCCGCGACUCGACCCC
RNAcentral lists this ribosomal RNA (527 nucleotides) under uncultured bacterium. RNAcentral's name for it is "bacterial SSU rRNA". It matches the Rfam family "Bacterial small subunit ribosomal RNA", at positions 791 to 1319 of the family's 1533-position model. The record is from RNAcentral.